Non-coding RNA from Sus scrofa (pig), 2842 nucleotides. Lineage: Eukaryota; Metazoa; Chordata; Mammalia; Artiodactyla; Suidae. The record is from RefSeq and is a predicted model, not a curated record.
CCUCGCACUCCUUAACCUGUCCUAGUCCUCCGCCCGUGCCCACUCUCCAUCAACCCCAGUGUAAUGCUACUCAGCUAGCUCUUUCUUCAGGGCAUCCUUUGGAAAGGAUCCCCUGGCAUGGAAAACUCGGUACGCGUACAUCUGUUGGCAUGUCUCUGUUAAUAUGUCUUGGUCCGUUUAAUUUUCAGAUCCAGCCAGGGACCUUAAGAGAGUCAGGAAGCCUUUUCCUCCCGGGCAAGGGGUGUGACUGAGAAGACUGUGUGUUGGAGAAGCUUCGACCACUCCAUCGCUUCAGUUUUUGGAAACCAGAGACUUGCAGUGGCAUUGAUGAGACUAUGGACUAUGCCAUGAAGCAGUCCAUGGCUGAGAGACUGCUGGAGCCCAUAGUAGCCGGUGACCACAGCCAUGCCCUUCUCUCUUCUGCUCUCCCAUCUGCGAAAUAAGAAUAAUGAUGUAUCUGCCUCUGAGUUGCUGGAAGGAUAAAAUGAGAUGACUGCUGUAAAUCCUGAUGGCUAACCUAGAAGGAAUGCAGAAUAAAACUACUGUUUAUAACAGAAUUAUAAGCUCUAUUAUACAGGUAAUUACAAAUGCUCCUUGACUGGUAAUUCUCGCACGCACUUUAUUGACAACAUUUUACUUGCUAUAGUUUGUUUCUGAAUGUGUGCAAAGGUAAUAAGACAAUUAUGCUGUAAAUUGCACCAUGAAUUCACCCCAACUAGACUUCCCUCAAAUUAAUACUAAUUAGUGAUGUACAAUACUGAUACUUGUAAUUUCAAUGGAAGUUAGAGGGAUGUUUGCUUUGCAAUACCACUGGGAGAGAAAAAAAUCAGUUGUUUUUUUUAAAUAAACGGAGGAAGCUAAUAUAAAGUGAAGAUGAAAUAAUGACUUCAAGCAUUUAUUCAGUCAUGUUGUGUGCUGCUUCUUAACAAUAAACAUAUCAUUUACAACACUAAGCAGAAGGAAGACUCCUCUAGCCUGUGUACCAAAUAAGGACAAAAAAGACAGAAAACCCAGCCUUUUUACUCUCAAUGGAGCAUCGCACUCAUUAAAAAAAAAAAAUUUUUUUUAAUUAAUCUCAGGCGUUCCUGUCGUAGCUCAGCAGAAACGAAUCUGACUAGGAACCAUGAGGUUGCGGGUUUGAUCUGUAGACUCACUCAGUGGGUUAAGGAUCUGGCUUUGCCAUGAGCUGUGGUGUAGGCCAACAGCUGUAGCUCUAAUUGGACCCCUAGCCUGGGAACCUCUGUGUGCCUCGGGUGUAGCCCUAAAAAAAGCAAAACAACAACAACAAAACAAACAAACAAACAAACAAACAAAAAAACCUCAAAGCUGUUUCCAAAUGUUUAAUAACCUGAGUCCACCCUAAUAACAUAAGACAGAUCAAUCACCUAUUUCAAUUGUUUAAGCAGGAAAGCUCAAUUUGGGAGGAGUGGGGGAGUUGGCUCCGGUACACUGGCAACCUGCUUUAUUAGUUUCAAAAACCAUUGUUGUUUUUGAAAAGGGUUUUUCCAGCCCUUCUAGUGGUAACAAUCCAAAAGACUCUGCUUGUACAGAAACCAGGAUUUCCCAAACUUGCCCAUCACAAGAGUCCCCUGUUUAAACACAUAUUCCCAGACAGCCCUAGGGAAUCAGCCUUUCUAAGUGGCUCUAGUCAUCAGACAAUUUGGGCAACACCUCCCUGCAGUGGCUCUUGACCCUGAUCAUGUGCUGGAGUCUUCUGGGGAGCACAAAAAGCAGCCUCGGCAACACCUGAGGCCUGGACCCACCGCAGACAAAAGAAAUCACCAUCUCUGGAGCUGGCCUGGCCCCUGGUUUUUGGUUUUGGCUGUGUCUGCCGCACGUGGAAGUUCUUGAGCCAGGAAUCCAACCUGCGCCACAGCGGUGGCAGUGCCGGAUCCUUCACCCCCUGUGCUACAAGAGAACUCCAUCGCUGGUGUUUUUCCAAAGCUACCCAGAGGAUACGAACCAUCUCAGGCCCCCCGUCCCAUCCCCAGGCCUCCUCAAGGGCAAUCUGCAUCAGAACAAGAGCUUCGGCGAUCUACGUGCACACUGAAGGUGGACAAGGCUGUCCUCGUGCCUCCCAACAAACAGAACUCAUAUCUUUCCACCCCAGAAGGAUGGAUUUUUUGGCUCUCCUUUCCCUCUAGCCACCACAAGAAACUCACCCUCUUUCCAGGUCUUUUUCUUUAUACUCUUGGCCAUUGAAAGCCAAGUGAAGAGGGACAGGGUGAGGCACACCUCUCCGUUCCAAAAUCAUUUAUUAACGUAGGUUCGAUGGUAUACACUGCUCUUACCCAAUCGAAUGCCCCGGAAAAACUUUAAUUGGCAGUUUCAGUUUCAUGUCCCAUAAAUCAAAAACAUGAAGGAUCACUAGCAUUCACAUCCGUGAACUCAUUUAGACAGUUUUCUUUAAUUAACGAUGAAGACACUACAGUUCUAAGUACCAGACAGCAUCGGGGGUGGGGGGGGGGGGACUGAAAAGCAUAACACUAUAAAGAAGACUGGGAAAAAAGUGAAUCUAAAUAAAAAUAUAUACCUGGCCUGGUACCCAUUACAUAUAUACAUAAUACAUAUGUUAUACACAUAUUUACAAUAAAUGUUUUGGUAGCAAUACAGACCAUGCAUUGGUCCUUUUGAACACAGAUGACGUAGCACCCAAAUCAGCACCACCAUCUUAAGAUGAAAAACCCAACUGCACAGACAUUAAAGGAAAAAAAUAGAUAUGUAUUUGAUUUGGCCCACCCUGUAGCCAAGAGGUGUAAGGAAAGAACUCAGUGAGAAAAAAUGGUUCCAGGAACUGCAUUCUUAAGCCAAUAGCAAAGUUCUAAAAAGAAAAAAAAAAAAA